Thamnophis elegans (Western terrestrial garter snake) is the source of this 488-nucleotide long non-coding RNA. RefSeq lists it as uncharacterized. The record is from RefSeq and is a predicted model, not a curated record. NCBI's taxonomy places the organism in Eukaryota, Metazoa, Chordata, Lepidosauria, Squamata, Natricidae. The transcript is spliced from 2 exons.
GACCAGCUGGACUCUGCAUGCAGUCAACUAAUGCAGGCAUCCAUCAAAGCAGAGCCUGCUUAAUGCAGGGAAAGGAAGGCUGGGGAAAAAGGAGCCCUGGGCCCUUCCCCAACCGCAGCCGGGCUAGGAGAGGAGCUCAAGGCAAAAUGCAAACUACAGCCCUGCACUCCUCCCUCCCCUCCGAGGACCAGACUGUCUCCAACAAGCAGCUGGCUGACAGCUACGGAAGAGUGUCUGCCAUACCUGGCAAUGUCAAGAAUGGAACACAAGGUAUUUUACACAGGCUAAGGAGAUUUCCCAUGAAAACGGCCGUUUAUACUGAAGUGUAUUUAACACACACAUGCAAGUCUGAAAGAGGUGAGCAAUGAUUUCUACUGGACCCGUGCAGAUGAAGACAAACAAGGCAAAUCUCAGUAAAUCAACUUAAAUUCCAGGAUUCCCCAAUAUAAAGGAGCACAGAGAACAACACAUUCUGCAGUUCAAUGCAG